AGCGGAUAGCGGCGGACGGGUGAGUAACACGUGAGUAACUUGCCUUAGACAUUGGGAUAGCCUCGGGAAACCGGGAUUAAUACCAAAUAAAAUCAUAAUGACACAUGUCAUAACGAUCAAAACUCCGGUGGUCUAAGAUGGACUCGCGUCCCAUUAGCUAGUUGGUAGAGUAAAAGCCUACCAAGGCGACGAUGGGUAGCCGGCCUGAGAGGGUGAACGGCCACAUUGGGACUGAGAAACGGUCCAA
This 247-nucleotide ribosomal RNA is filed under the name uncultured Eubacteriales bacterium. RNAcentral's name for it is "uncultured Clostridiales bacterium partial 16S ribosomal RNA". It matches the Rfam family "Bacterial small subunit ribosomal RNA", at positions 87 to 334 of the family's 1533-position model. Lineage: Bacteria; Bacillati; Bacillota; Clostridia; Eubacteriales. The record is from RNAcentral.